GACGCUGGCGGCGUGCCUAAUACAUGCAAGUCGAACGAGAUCCCGGAGCUUGCUCCGGGGGACAGUGGCGAACGGGUGAGUAACACGUGAGAAACCUGCCCUAGAGACCGGGACAACCGUUGGAAACGGCGGCUAAUACCGGAUGCCUUCACACGGUCGCAUGACCGAGUGAAGAAAUGCUCAGGUGCUCUAGGAGGGUCUCGCGGCCUAUCAGCUAGUUGGUGAGGUAACGGCUCACCAAGGCAUCGACGGGUAGCUGGUCUGAGAGGACGAUCAGCCACACUGGGACUGAGACACGGCCCAGACUCCUACGGGAGGCAGCAGUAGGGAAUCUUGCGCAAUGGGGGCAACCCUGACGCAGCAACGCCGCGUGUGGGAUGACGGCUUUCGGGUUGUAAACCACUUUCAGUGAUGACGAAAAUGACGGUAAUCACAGAAGAAGGUCCGGCCAACUACGUGCCAGCAGCCGCGGUAACACGUAGGGACCGAGCGUUGUCCGGAUUUAUUGGGCGUAAAGAGCUCGUAGGCGGUUCUGUAAGUCGGAUGUGAAAACUCAGGGCUCAACCCUGAGACGCCAUCUGAUACUGCAGUGACUAGAGUCCGGUAGAGGAAGAUGGAAUUCCUGGUGUAGCGGUGGAAUGCGCAGAUAUCAGGAGGAACACCAACGGCGAAGGCAGUCUUCUGGGCCGGUACUGACGCUGAGGAGCGAAAGCAUGGGGAGCAAACAGGAUUAGAUACCCUGGUAGUCCAUGCCGUAAACGUUGGGCACUAGGUGUGGGGUCUUCUAACGGAUUCCGUGCCGUAGCUAACGCAUUAAGUGCCCCGCCUGGGGAGUACGGCCGC
RNAcentral lists this ribosomal RNA (843 nucleotides) under uncultured Acidimicrobiales bacterium. RNAcentral describes it as "bacterial SSU rRNA". It matches the Rfam family "Bacterial small subunit ribosomal RNA", at positions 32 to 889 of the family's 1533-position model. Lineage: Bacteria; Bacillati; Actinomycetota; Acidimicrobiia; Acidimicrobiales. The record is from RNAcentral.